CCUGGUUGAUUCUCCAGUAGUCAUAUGCUUGUCUUAAAAAUUAAGUCAUGUAUGUGUAAGUAUGAACUAAUUCAGACUGUGAAACUAUGAAUGACUCAUUAAAUUAGUUAUAGUUUGUUAAAUGGUAUCUACUACUCAAAUAACCAUAGUAAUUCUAGAGCUAAUACAUGUAACAAACCUUGAGUUUUGGAAGGGAUGCAUUUAUUAGAUAAAAGGUUGAUGUGUGCUUUGCCCUUUGAUCUAAUGAUUCAUGAUAACUCUACGGAUUGCAUGGCCUUUGUGUUAGAGAUGCAUCAUUCAAAUAUUUACCCUAUCAACUUUUGAUGGUAGGAUAGUAGCCUACUAGAUAGUGAUAGGCGACGGAAAAUUAUGGUUUGAUUUUGAAGAAGGAGCCUGAGAAAUGGCAACCACAUGCAAGGAAGGCAGUAGGUGUGCAAAUUACCUAAUCUUGACAUGGAGAGGCAGUGACAAUAAAUAACAAUACAGGGUUUUAUCUAGUAAUUAGAAUGAGUACAAUUUAAAUCCUUAACAAGGUUCCAUUGGAGGGUAGGUCUGGUGUGAGCAACCGUUGUAAUUCCACCUCUAAUAGCAUAUAUUUAAGUUGUUACAAUUAAAAAGCUUGUAGUUGGAACUAGUGUUAGGUCAUUUGGUCCAUGUCAUGGUGAGUACCAGUCUACUCGUCCUUAUUACCGAUGAUGUGCUUCUAGCCUUAACUAGCCAAGUCAUUCCUUUGGUACUGUUACUUUGAAAAAAUUAGAGUGCUCAAAGCAGGCUACUCUUGUAUACAUUAGCAUGGGAUAACAUCAUAGGAUUUCAAUCCUAUUGUGUUGGCCUUUGGGAUAAGAGUAAUGAUUAAUAGGGACAAUUAAGGCAUCCGUAUUUCCUAAUUAGAGAUGGAAUUCUUGGAUUUAUGAAAGAUGAACAACUGUGAAAGCAUUUGCUAAUGAUGCUUUUAUUAAUCAAGAAUGAAAGUUAGGGGCUUAAAGAUGAUCAAAACCAUCCUAGUCUCAACCAUAAAUGAUGGUUACUAGAGAUCGACGGAUGUUACUUUUAGGACUCCACUGGCACAUUAUGAGAAAUCAAAGUCUUUAGGUUCAGGGAGGAGUAUGGUCACAAGGUUGAAAUUUAAAAAAUUGAUGAAAGGGCACCGCCAGGAGUGAAGCUUGCAACUUAAUUUAACUUAACAUGGGAAAACUUACUAGGUCCAAACAUAGUAAGGAUUAAUAAACUGAGAGCUCUUUCUUGAUUCUAUGGGUAAUGGUGCAUGGUCGUUCUUAGUUGGUGGAGUGAUUUGUCUAGUUAAUUCCAUUAACGAAUGAGAUUUUAGCCUCUCAACUAGCUACAUGGAGGUGACCUUUGUGGCUAGCUUCUUAGAGGGACUUUGGUUGUUUAAGCCAAGAAAGUUUAAGGCAAUAACAGGUUUGUGAUGUCCUUAGAUGUUUCAGGCUGCAUGUAUGCUACACUAAUAUAUUAAAUGAGUAUAUAGCCUUAGUAGAUAGGUCUACAUAAUUUUUGAAAUUUCAUUGUGAUAGGGAUAGAUCAUUGUAAUUGUUGGUCUUCAUUGAGGAAUUUCAAGUAAGCAUGAGUCAUCAGCUCACGUUGACUAUGUCUUUACCCUUUGUACACACCGCCCAUCACUCCUACCAAUUGAAUGGUCCAAUGAAGUGUUUGGAUCAUGAUGACAUGGACUGUUCACUACCCACGAUGUCAUGAGAAGUCCACUAAACCAUAUCAUUUAGAGGAAGGAGAAGUCAUAAAAGGUUUCCAUAGGUAAACUUAUGGAAG
This 1785-nucleotide ribosomal RNA is filed under the name Durio zibethinus. RNAcentral describes it as "SSU rRNA". It matches the Rfam family "Eukaryotic small subunit ribosomal RNA". The record is from RNAcentral. Lineage: Eukaryota; Viridiplantae; Streptophyta; Magnoliopsida; Malvales; Malvaceae.